GAGAUUGUAGCUCAGAGGUAGAACGCACACCUAGCAUGAGUGAGGCACUGGGUUCAAUCCCCAGCACCACA
RNAcentral lists this transfer RNA (71 nucleotides) under Marmota monax (woodchuck). Its description in RNAcentral is "tRNA.Ala". The record is from RNAcentral. Lineage: Eukaryota; Metazoa; Chordata; Mammalia; Rodentia; Sciuridae.